RNAcentral lists this ribosomal RNA (467 nucleotides) under uncultured bacterium. Its description in RNAcentral is "partial 16S ribosomal RNA". It matches the Rfam family "Bacterial small subunit ribosomal RNA", at positions 28 to 507 of the family's 1533-position model. The record is from RNAcentral.
GAUGAACGCUGGCGGCGUGCUUAACACAUGCAAGUCGAACGGUGAAGCAGAGCUUGCUCUGUGGAUCAGUGGCGAACGGGUGAGUAACACGUGAGCAACCUGCCCCUGACUCUGGGAUAAGCGCUGGAAACGGCGUCUAAUACUGGAUAUGAGCCGCGACCGCAUGGUCAGCAGUUGGAAAGAUUUUUCGGUCUGGGAUAGGCUCACGGCCUAUCAGCUUGUUGGUGAGGUAAUGGCUCACCAAGGCGUCGACGGGUAGCCGGCCUGAGAGGGUGACCGGCCACACUGGGACUGAGACACGGCCCAGACUCCUACGGGAGGCAGCAGUGGGGAAUAUUGCACAAUGGGCGAAAGCCUGAUGCAGCAACGCCGCGUGAGGGAUGACGGCCUUCGGGUUGUAAACCUCUUUUAGCAGGGAAGAAGCGAAAGUGACGGUACCUGCAGAAAAAGCGCCGGCUAACUACGUG